UCGAGAAUUUUUCACAAUGGGCGAAAGCCUGAUGGAGCGACGCCGCGUGGGGGAUGAAUGGCUUCGGCCCGUAAACCCCUGUCAUUUGCGAUCAACCCUCAUUAUUUAAAAGAUGGUGAGCUGAUAGUAGCGAAAGAGGAAGGGACGGCUAACUCUGUGCCAGCAGCCGCGGUAAUACAGAGGUCCCGAGCGUUGUUCGGAUUCACUGGGCGUAAAGGGUGCGUAGGUGGUGAGGUAAGUCGGAUGUGAAAUCUCGGAGCUCAACUCCGAAACUGCAUUGGAAACUACCUUGCUCGAGGGUUGGAGGGGGGACUGGAAUUCUCGGUGUAGCAGUGAAAUGCGUAGAUAUCGAGAGGAACACCAGUGGCGAAGGCGAGUCCCUGGACAACACCUGACACUGAGGCACGAAAGCUAGGGGAGCAAACA
RNAcentral lists this ribosomal RNA (426 nucleotides) under uncultured prokaryote. RNAcentral's name for it is "bacterial SSU rRNA". It matches the Rfam family "Bacterial small subunit ribosomal RNA", at positions 355 to 774 of the family's 1533-position model. The record is from RNAcentral.